This 1141-nucleotide long non-coding RNA is filed under the name Heterocephalus glaber (naked mole-rat). RNAcentral's name for it is "lncRNA (ENSHGLG00100052571.1)". The record is from RNAcentral. Lineage: Eukaryota; Metazoa; Chordata; Mammalia; Rodentia; Bathyergidae.
AGAUGAAGAAAUGCCUCCUAGAUUAGGAAGGCCCGCGUCUGAAAGCACCGCUCUGCUGCUGUGGAGGUCGUCACCGCAGCUCCUCACCCUCGGACACGGACUCUCGCGGGCUGCAGCGAGCCAUCGGGCCUUCAGCCUGGGCCUUGCCCUGUGGCUUCCGGCUUCUCGCCCUGAGCAGCUGCAGACUGAGGAGCUCCUCCCAUCCUGCAGAGUGCAGACAGACACUGUGGACGCUCCGGGCUCUGAACGCCUAAGAAAUCGCCUUGCCCAAAUAAGUACACAAGCUUCUCCCCUGGUGGUUGACUUCAAGCUCUCUGAGUGACAUCAGUGAACACAUACUUGGAAAGAUAUGUGCAGCAGCAGCACAUAAUUAUGUACUAUUUCUGCCACACAAAUACAGUAAACUGACAGAACCCAGCCACCACAUUGUACCUUUCCGUACCCUAAAAUCAGCAAAGGCAGGUCUCCACCCCAGAGCCUGUGAGAAACUCCAGCACUCAGUCAACAGUCCAUGAGGACCUCAAUCCUGUCAACAGUCUCUUAGGUGAGUAUGAGAGUAGAUCUUCCCCUAUUGAGCCUUCAGAUAAGGUCACAGCCCUGGCAACUCCUUGAAUGCAGCCACAUAUCCCAAUUAGCCAGCCCCAGAUUUCUAAGAGGAAGAAAGUAUGAGGUGAUAGAUACUUGUUUUAUGCUCCCACCAUGUUUUGCAGUAAUUCAUUAUAUUGCCAAUUGCUCAGAAUUAUUUAUCCAAUGAACAUGUAUCAAAUAUCUUUGUGACAGGCCCUGUAACAAAAAAAAAGAAGCAGAUCUGCUGAGAACAUGGGGCACCUAAACCUUGAGGAAAUCAGUCUGCCAAGGAGGAUGAAUAGGUCAAUAGAUAGUAUAUAAUAUCUAAUGGAGAGAUAAGAAAAAUUCCAUAAGACUAUAAGAAAAGCUAACUGUAUAUGACAGAGCUUCACUGAAUAACUGCCACUUGAGCUAGAUCCUAAAGUUUGAGCACAUUAAGAAUCUGGCAGGUGGUGCUGAUUCCACAGGAGCUGCUGCUUCCAGGAACUGCACAGAGGAGAGUCCACACGUAAUCACAGAACCACUUUACAUGUAGUUACCAGAUGAAGAAGCCACAAGACAGUGUGGUUUGUCU